This 775-nucleotide ribosomal RNA is filed under the name uncultured Neocallimastigales. RNAcentral describes it as "partial large subunit ribosomal RNA". It matches the Rfam family "Eukaryotic large subunit ribosomal RNA", at positions 26 to 637 of the family's 3401-position model. Lineage: Eukaryota; Fungi; Neocallimastigomycota; Neocallimastigomycetes; Neocallimastigales. The record is from RNAcentral.
CGCAUCUGUGCAUGCAGCAUAUCAAUAAGCGGAGGAAAAGAAACUAACAAGGAUUCCCCUAGUAACGGCGAGUGAAGCGGGAAGAGCUCAAAUUUGAAAUCUUAAAGGGUUUCCCUUUACGAAUUGUAGUUUAAAGAAGUGUUUUCUGUUGAGGUUUUGGUAAAAGUUCUUUGGAAUAGGACAUCAUAGAGGGUGAGAAUCCCGUAUUUGACCUUUACUUUCAACUUUGUGAUACACUUUCAAAGAGUCGGAUUGUUUGGGAAUGCAGUCCAAAAUGGGUGGUAAAUUUCAUCUAAAGCUAAAUAUUGGCGAGAGACCGAUAGCGAACAAGUACCGUGAGGGAAAGAUGAAAAGAACUUUGAAAAGAGAGUUAAACAGUACGUGGAAAUUGUCAAAAGGGAAGCGUUUGACACCAGUGUUGUUUUUCUGAAAAUCAAUUAAAGAACUGUUUAUGCUAAGUUGUUUAGACUUUAUCAGCUAACUGUUUAGUUUUGAGCUUUUCUUUAAUGCACUUUUCAGUUAACAAGUCAACAUCAAUUUCUUUUGCUGUAAAAAAGCUUGAGGAAGGUGGCUUGAGAUUCGUCUUAAGUGUUUAUAGCCUCUUGCCUAUGCAGUCGGAGAGAUUGAGGUCUGCAGCGUAGAUCCUUCGGGGUUAAAUGCAUUUGUGCUAAGUUAUAGCAUUUUAUAGACAACUUGUUGACUAUGAUUUGUCUUGUAGCUUACUCGCUUAUGUUAUUUUACCUACGCUUAGGAUGUUGACAGCAGUAUAGACUGU